GAUGAACGCUGGCGGUGUGCCUAAUACAUGCAAGUCGAACGAAACUUCUUUAUCACCGAGUGCUUGCACUCACCGAUAAAGAGUUGAGUGGCGAACGGGUCAGUAACACGUGGGCAACCUGCCCAAAAGAGGGGGAUAACACUUGGAAACAGGUGCUAAUACCGCAUAACCAUAGUUACCGCAUGGUAACUAUGUAAAAGGUGGCUAUACUACCGCUUUUGGAUGGGCCCGCGGCGCAUUAGCUAGUUGGUAGGGUAAAGGCUUACCAAGGCAAUGAUGCGUAGCCGAAUUGAGAGGUUGAUCGGCCACAUUGGGACUGAGACACGGCCCAAACUCCUACGGGAGGCAGCAGUAGGGAAUCUUCCACAAUGGGCGAAAGCCUGAUGGAGCAACGCCGCGUGGGUGAAGAAGGUCUUCGGAUCGUAAAACCCUGUUGUUAGAGAAGAAAGUGCGUGAGAGUAACUGUUCACGUUUCGACGGUAUCUAACCAGAAAGCCACGGCUAACUACGUG
This 512-nucleotide ribosomal RNA is filed under the name uncultured bacterium. RNAcentral describes it as "partial 16S ribosomal RNA". It matches the Rfam family "Bacterial small subunit ribosomal RNA", at positions 28 to 507 of the family's 1533-position model. The record is from RNAcentral.